UCAGGUUUUAUUCAAUUAUUAGAUUAGGAUUUUGGGAAAUUAGCGUAAAAGGUUUCUCCCCUCUGGUGACGCCAGCAUCACGAAUUGACAGAGGAAUGCUGCUCCAGCGAGGAGGCGAUGCGACCGGGCGACAAAAAUGGUGGAAAGAGUGGUGCCACUCAUGGAGAUGGCGUUGAAGUCAUGUAUUUGGGGCACCUCGACCCGCGAAGGGGAUGAUCUAUAUAUGGAUGGGAUUCGGGGAAGAUGGCGGCGCCUCCAUGGCUCCGACAGUGAGAGAAGAAACACGUCCCUGUUUGGACGUGGUUUAGAGAAGGAAAGAAGCGUCUUGUGUGACUCCGGCGGCAAGGAUGAAAGGGACAUGGCUGUUCAUUGGAUCCGGGUAUGCCUCUGGUGAUGCCUAAGGCUCCUCUGGACGGUGGGUUGCUGUGAAGAUGGUGAUGGCGGUGAGAGAUUCUCUUGUUCUGGUGGCUAAGCCCCAUGAUUAUGUAGCUUCGGCAGGGCAGUGGUUCAGCCUGAGUCAAUCAGAGGCAUUAACAGGAAAGGGGAUGGCGAAUUAAAAGAAAAAAUGUUUUGUUGUGUUUUUUUUUGUCAAAUGAGAGAAGAAGUAAACAAGAGUGUGGGUUUGUGGGGUGGUGGAGAAGGGAGGUUUAUGUUGAUAACAUGAGAGAUUAUGAAAAGUAAUGAGUAUGUUUGACGGAGAG
This 701-nucleotide long non-coding RNA is filed under the name Lupinus angustifolius (narrow-leaved blue lupine). Its description in RNAcentral is "long non-coding RNA (LANG_LNC003653)". Lineage: Eukaryota; Viridiplantae; Streptophyta; Magnoliopsida; Fabales; Fabaceae. The record is from RNAcentral.